CCUCUUGUAGCUUAGUGGUCAGAGUAUUGGUGCAUAAAGCCAAAGGUCCCGGGUUCGAUUCCCGGCAAGGGUG
Agrilus planipennis (emerald ash borer) is the source of this 73-nucleotide non-coding RNA. Lineage: Eukaryota; Metazoa; Arthropoda; Insecta; Coleoptera; Buprestidae. The record is from Rfam.